GCCGGGGUGGUGGAACGGUAGACACGGCGGACUUAAAAUCCGCUGCUCGAGAGGGCGUGUGGGUUCGACUCCCACCCCCGGCACCA
RNAcentral lists this transfer RNA (86 nucleotides) under Chloroflexota bacterium. RNAcentral describes it as "Chloroflexi bacterium tRNA-Leu". It matches the Rfam family "tRNA". Rfam says of the family: Transfer RNA (tRNA) molecules are approximately 80 nucleotides in length. Their secondary structure includes four short double-helical elements and three loops (D, anti-codon, and T loops). Further hydrogen bonds mediate the characteristic L-shaped molecular structure. tRNAs have two regions of fundamental functional importance: the anti-codon, which is responsible for specific mRNA codon recognition, and the 3' end, to which the tRNAs corresponding amino acid is attached (by aminoacyl-tRNA synthetases). tRNAs cope with the degeneracy of the genetic code in two manners: having more than one tRNA (with a specific anti-codon) for a particular amino acid; and 'wobble' base-pairing, i.e. permitting non-standard base-pairing at the 3rd anti-codon position. The record is from RNAcentral. RNAcentral also lists the same sequence under 1 other name. Lineage: Bacteria; Bacillati; Chloroflexota.